AGACCCGAAACCCGGUGAUCUAGCCAUGGGCAGGUUGAAGGUUGGGUAACACUAACUGGAGGACCGAACCGACUAAUGUUGAAAAAUUAGCGGAUGACUUGUGGCUGGGGGUGAAAGGCCAAUCAAACCGGGAGAUAGCUGGUUCUCCCCGAAAGCUAUUUAGGUAGCGCCUCGUGAAUUCAUCUCCGGGGGUAGAGCACUGUUUCGGCAAGGGGGUCAUCCCGACUUACCAACCCGAUGCAAACUGCGAAUACCGGAGAAUGUUAUCACGGGAGACACACGGCGGGUGCUAACGUCCGUCGUGAAGAGGGAAACAACCCAGACCGCCAGCUAAGGUCCCAAAGUCAUGGUUAAGUGGGAAACGAUGUGGGAAGGCCCAGACAGCCAGGAUGUUGGCUUAGAAGCAGCCAUCAUUUAAAGAAAGCGUAAUAGCUCACUGGUCGAGUCGGCCUGCGCGGAAGAUGUAACGGGGCUAAACCAUGCACCGAAGCUGCGGCAGCGACACUGUGUGUUGUUGGGUAGGGGAGCGUUCUGUAAGCCUGUGAAGGUGUGCUGUGAGGCAUGCUGGAGGUAUCAGAAGUGCGAAUGCUGACAUAAGUAACGAUAAAGCGGGUGAAAAGCCCGCUCGCCGGAAGACCAAGGGUUCCUGUCCAACGUUAAUCGGGGCAGGGUGAGUCGACCCCUAAGGCGAGGCCGAAAGGCGUAGUCGAUGGGAAACAGGUUAAUAUUCCUGUACUUGGUGUUACUGCGAAGGGGGGACGGAGAAGGCUAUGUUGGCCGGGCGACGGUUGUCCCGGUUUAAGCGUGUAGGCUGGUUUUCCAGGCAAAUCCGGAAAAUCAAGGCUGAGGCGUGAUGACGAGGCACUACGGUGCUGAAGCAACAAAUGCCCUGCUUCCAGGAAAAGCCUCUAAGCAUCAGGUAACAUCAAAUCGUACCCCAAACCGACACAGGUGGUCAGGUAGAGAAUACCAAGGCGCUUGAGAGAACUCGGGUGAAGGAACUAGGCAAAAUGGUGCCGUAACUUCGGGAGAAGGCACGCUGAUAUGUAGGUGAAGUCCCUCGCGGAUGGAGCUGAAAUCAGUCGAAGAUACCAGCUGGCUGCAACUGUUUAUUAAAAACACAGCACUGUGCAAACACGAAAGUGGACGUAUACGGUGUGACGCCUGCCCGGUGCCGGAAGGUUAAUUGAUGGGGUCAGCGCAAGCGAAGCUCUUGAUCGAAGCCCCGGUAAACGGCGGCCGUAACUAUAACGGUCCUAAGGUAGCGAAAUUCCUUGUCGGGUAAGUUCCGACCUGCACGAAUGGCGUAAUGAUGGCCAGGCUGUCUCCACCCGAGACUCAGUGAAAUUGAACUCGCUGUGAAGAUGCAGUGUACCCGCGGCAAGACGGAAAGACCCCGUGAACCUUUACUAUAGCUUGACACUGAACAUUGAGCCUUGAUGUGUAGGAUAGGUGGGAGGCUUUGAAGUG
This 1470-nucleotide ribosomal RNA is filed under the name Escherichia coli. Its description in RNAcentral is "partial 23S ribosomal RNA". It matches the Rfam family "Bacterial large subunit ribosomal RNA", at positions 711 to 2164 of the family's 2925-position model. Lineage: Bacteria; Pseudomonadati; Pseudomonadota; Gammaproteobacteria; Enterobacterales; Enterobacteriaceae. The record is from RNAcentral.